GACAUUUUCUAUCUACGUGUCUUGACCAAAUCACGUGCCAGCAGUCGCGGUAAUACGUGGGAGACUAGUGUUAUUCAUCUUUAAUAGGUUUAAAGGGUACUUAGACGGUUGAUUAAACCUCAAAUGGUACUAAUCAUCUAGAGUUUUAUGCAAGAAGGGGAGUACUAAAGAGUGUAGAGAUGAAAUUCUGUCAUACCUGACUUGGAACAGACAACGGCGAAAGCAACCUUUUAUGUAAAAACUGACGUUGAAAGACGAAGGCUUAGGACACCAACAGGAUUAGAUACCCCAGCAGUCUAAGCAGACAAUGAUGAAUGUCAUAGAUUAGAAUUAUAAUUUUGUCUAUAAAUGAAAGUGUAAGCAUUCCACCUCAAGAGUAAUGUGGCAACGCAGGAACUGAAAUCAUUAGACCGUUUCUGAAACCAGUAGUGAAGUAUGUUGUUUAAUUUGUCGAUCCGCAAAACACCUUACCACAAUUUGAAUAAUAUUAUUAAAAAUAUAUUUUUUUUUUAUAAUAUUACAAGCGUUGCACGGCUGUUUUCAGUUAAUAUCGUGAGAUUUUGGUUAGUUCCAUAAAAUUAACGUAAACCCUUACUUUAUUUAUCAAUAUAAAGUAGUUCCCCGCUAUAUUGGAUAUGAUAAAAGGGAAUAAGACAAGUCCAUCUGGCCUUAAUAUUGUGG
RNAcentral lists this ribosomal RNA (681 nucleotides) under Trapeliopsis sp. Resl 1151. RNAcentral's name for it is "SSU rRNA". It matches the Rfam family "Bacterial small subunit ribosomal RNA", at positions 471 to 1212 of the family's 1533-position model. The record is from RNAcentral. Lineage: Eukaryota; Fungi; Ascomycota; Lecanoromycetes; Trapeliales; Trapeliaceae.